RNAcentral lists this long non-coding RNA (201 nucleotides) under Elaeis guineensis (African oil palm). RNAcentral's name for it is "long non-coding RNA (EGUI_LNC013255)". Lineage: Eukaryota; Viridiplantae; Streptophyta; Magnoliopsida; Arecales; Arecaceae. The record is from RNAcentral.
UCCUCUUUCUACUUUCUCUCUAUAUUUUCUCUAUCUACGAGUGUCUCUCUUUAUUUUCUUUCUCGACUUUCUCUCUUUAGAUUAUUUUUCUUCACAGAUUUCUCUCUGUAGAAAUGUUAUGGACUAGUAAAGGGUCCAGAUGUCCAGAACACUUGGAUUGAUCAGUUAAUUCUUGGGAGGGACUUGAACCUGUAGUGUCAG